GCCUCCGUAGCUCAGCGGCUAGAGCAGCUGACUUGUAAUCAGCAGGUCGGGAGUUCAAAAAGGGUUUUUGUCGUCCAAUGGCCCUCUGAAAGUCUCCCCGGAGGCU
This 106-nucleotide transfer RNA is filed under the name Candidatus Woesearchaeota archaeon CG10_big_fil_rev_8_21_14_0_10_44_13. RNAcentral describes it as "tRNA-Thr". It matches the Rfam family "tRNA". Rfam says of the family: Transfer RNA (tRNA) molecules are approximately 80 nucleotides in length. Their secondary structure includes four short double-helical elements and three loops (D, anti-codon, and T loops). Further hydrogen bonds mediate the characteristic L-shaped molecular structure. tRNAs have two regions of fundamental functional importance: the anti-codon, which is responsible for specific mRNA codon recognition, and the 3' end, to which the tRNAs corresponding amino acid is attached (by aminoacyl-tRNA synthetases). tRNAs cope with the degeneracy of the genetic code in two manners: having more than one tRNA (with a specific anti-codon) for a particular amino acid; and 'wobble' base-pairing, i.e. permitting non-standard base-pairing at the 3rd anti-codon position. The record is from RNAcentral. Lineage: Archaea; Nanobdellati; Candidatus Woesearchaeota.